UACGGAGGGUGCGAGCGUUGUUCGGAAUCACUGGGCGUAAAGCGCGUGUAGGCGGCCCAUUAAGUCUGAUGUGAAAGCCCGGGGCUCACCCCCGGAAGUGCAUUGGAAACUGAUGGACUCGAGUCCCGGAGAGGAGAGUGGAAUUCUUGGUGUAGCGGUGAAAUGCGUAGAUAUCAAGAGGAACACCGGAGGUGAAGACGGGUUGCUGGGCUGACACUGACGCUGAGGCGCGAAAGCCAGGGGAGCAAACGGG
RNAcentral lists this ribosomal RNA (253 nucleotides) under uncultured bacterium. RNAcentral's name for it is "partial 16S ribosomal RNA". It matches the Rfam family "Bacterial small subunit ribosomal RNA", at positions 524 to 776 of the family's 1533-position model. The record is from RNAcentral.